RNAcentral lists this ribosomal RNA (117 nucleotides) under Acidimicrobiia bacterium. The record is from RNAcentral. Lineage: Bacteria; Bacillati; Actinomycetota; Acidimicrobiia.
CCUGGUGGCGAUAGCGGCGGAGUCAUACCCGUUCCCAUUCCGAACACGGAAGUCAAGCCCGCCAGCGCCGAUGGUACUUGGGGGGCGACCCCCUGGGAGAGUAGGUCACCGCCAGGC